RNAcentral lists this ribosomal RNA (403 nucleotides) under uncultured soil bacterium. Its description in RNAcentral is "bacterial SSU rRNA". It matches the Rfam family "Bacterial small subunit ribosomal RNA", at positions 975 to 1375 of the family's 1533-position model. The record is from RNAcentral.
CAGCUCUUGACAUGUCCCGUAUGAGUACCAGAGAUGGAACUCUUCAGUUCGGCUGGCGGGAACACAGGUGCUGCAUGGCUGUCGUCAGCUCGUGUCGUGAGAUGUUGGGUUAAGUCCCGCAACGAGCGCAACCCUCGCCCUUAGUUGCCAUCAUUUAGUUGGGCACUCUAAGGGGACUGCCGGUGAUAAGCCGCGAGGAAGGUGGGGAUGACGUCAAGUCCUCAUGGCCCUUACGGGCUGGGCUACACACGUGCUACAAUGGCGGUGACAAUGGGAUGCAGAGGGGUAACCCCGAGCAAAUCUCAAAAAGCCGUCUCAGUUCGGAUUGUGCUCUGCAACUCGAGCACAUGAAGUUGGAAUCGCUAGUAAUCGCAGAUCAGCACGCUGCGGUGAAUACGUUCCC